RNAcentral lists this ribosomal RNA (1341 nucleotides) under Campylobacter insulaenigrae NCTC 12927. Its description in RNAcentral is "16S ribosomal RNA". It matches the Rfam family "Bacterial small subunit ribosomal RNA", at positions 28 to 1382 of the family's 1533-position model. The record is from RNAcentral. Lineage: Bacteria; Pseudomonadati; Campylobacterota; Epsilonproteobacteria; Campylobacterales; Campylobacteraceae.
AGUGAACGCUGGCGGCGUGCCUAAUACAUGCAAGUCGAACGAUGAAGCAACUAGCUUGCUAGUUGUGGAUUAGUGGCGCACGGGUGAGUAAAGUAUAGUUAAUCUGCCCUACACAAGAGGACAACAGUUGGAAACGACUGCUAAUACUCUAUACUCCUAUUUAACAUAAGUUGAGUAGGGAAAGUUUUUCGGUGUAGGAUGAGACUAUAUAGUAUCAGCUAGUUGGUGAGGUAAUGGCUCACCAAGGCUAUGACGCUUAACUGGUCUGAGAGGAUGAUCAGUCACACUGGAACUGAGACACGGUCCAGACUCCUACGGGAGGCAGCAGUAGGGAAUAUUGCGCAAUGGGGGAAACCCUGACGCAGCAACGCCGCGUGGAGGAUGACACUUUUCGGAGCGUAAACUCCUUUUCUUAGGGAAGAAUUCUGACGGUACCUAAGGAAUAAGCACCGGCUAACUCCGUGCCAGCAGCCGCGGUAAUACGGAGGGUGCAAGCGUUACUCGGAAUCACUGGGCGUAAAGGGCGCGUAGGCGGAUUAUCAAGUCUCUUGUGAAAUCUAAUGGCUCAACCAUUAAACUGCUUGGGAAACUGAUAAUCUAGAGUGAGGGAGAGGCAGAUGGAAUUGGUGGUGUAGGGGUAAAAUCCGUAGAUAUCACCAAGAAUACCCAUUGCGAAGGCGAUCUGCUGGAACUUAACUGACGCUAAGGCGCGAAAGCGUGGGGAGCAAACAGGAUUAGAUACCCUGGUAGUCCACGCCCUAAACGAUGUACACUAGUUGUUGGGAUGCUAGUCAUCUCAGUAAUGCAGCUAACGCAUUAAGUGUACCGCCUGGGGAGUACGGUCGCAAGAUUAAAACUCAAAGGAAUAGACGGGGACCCGCACAAGCGGUGGAGCAUGUGGUUUAAUUCGAAGAUACGCGAAGAACCUUACCUGGGCUUGAUAUCCUAAGAACCUUAUAGAGAUAUGAGGGUGCUAGCUUGCUAGAACUUAGAGACAGGUGCUGCACGGCUGUCGUCAGCUCGUGUCGUGAGAUGUUGGGUUAAGUCCCGCAACGAGCGCAACCCACGUAUUUAGUUGCUAACGGUUAGGCCGAGCACUCUAAAUAGACUGCCUUCGUAAGGAGGAGGAAGGUGUGGACGACGUCAAGUCAUCAUGGCCCUUAUGCCCAGGGCGACACACGUGCUACAAUGGCAUAUACAAUGAGACGCAAUAUCGCAAGGUGGAGCAAAUCUAUAAAAUAUGUCCCAGUUCGGAUUGUUCUCUGCAACUCGAGAGCAUGAAGCCGGAAUCGCUAGUAAUCGUAGAUCAGCCAUGCUACGGUGAAUACGUUCCCGGGUCUU